UACGUAGGGGGCUAGCGUUGUCCGGAAUCAUUGGGCGUAAAGAGCGUGUAGGCGGCUCGGUAAGUCCGCUGUGAAAGUCCAGGGCUCAACCCUGGAAUGCCAGUGGAAACUGUCGAGCUAGAGUCCGGAAGAGGCGAGUGGAAUUCCUGGUGUAGCGGUGGAAUGCGCAGAUAUCAGGAGGAACACCGAUGGCGAAGGCAGAUCUCUGGGCCGUAACUGACGCUGAGGAGCGAAAGCGUGGGGAGCGAACAGG
Molecule: ribosomal RNA, 253 nt
Filed under: uncultured bacterium
Lineage: Bacteria
Description: partial 16S ribosomal RNA
Rfam family: Bacterial small subunit ribosomal RNA
Source: RNAcentral